CACUAUGCCUAGCCAUAAACAUUGAUAGUAAACUACACCUACUAUCCGCCCGGGAACUACGAGCAUCAGCUUGAAACCCAAAGGACUUGGCGGUGCUUUAGAUCCACCUAGAGGAGCCUGUUCUAGAACCGAUUACCCCCGUUCAACCUCACCUUUCCUUGUUUUUUCCGCCUAUAUACCACCGUCGUCAGCUUACCCUAUGAAGGACUUAUAGUAAGCAAGAUUGGCACAGCCCAAAACGUCAGGUCGAGGUGUAGCGUAUGGAAAGGGAAGAAAUGGGCUACAUUCCCUAAUACAGUGAAAUACGAACGAUACACUGAAAUACGUAUCUGAAGGAGGAUUUAGCAGUAAGCAGAAAAUAGAGCGUUCCGCUGAAACCGGCCCUGAAGCGCGCACACACCGCCCGUCACUCUCCCCAAGCUUAAUUAACCUUAGUACCUAAAACCUAAAAACUGCAAAGGGGAGGCAAGUCGUAA
Molecule: ribosomal RNA, 476 nt
Filed under: Lutjanus quinquelineatus (five-lined snapper)
Lineage: Eukaryota; Metazoa; Chordata; Actinopteri; Lutjaniformes; Lutjanidae
Description: partial small subunit ribosomal RNA
Rfam family: Bacterial small subunit ribosomal RNA
Source: RNAcentral